Long non-coding RNA from Homo sapiens (human), 600 nucleotides. Ensembl annotates it as long intergenic non-protein coding RNA 1518. NCBI's taxonomy places the organism in Eukaryota, Metazoa, Chordata, Mammalia, Primates, Hominidae. The record is from Ensembl.
GGAGUGGUAAGAUGGCGGACGAGCAGCUGCAGCAGCUCCGUGCGGUGCUACAGGGGGAGGGGAAGGUGGUUUCUCCUGACACAAGCUGGAGGCCGGAGCCUGUGGCACCCUGGCUUGCCUCACUGAAGCUGGUGGCUGUGACAGGGACUGCACGGCUGCUGGAGUGGUAGAAAGGCAGCCCAGGUAGGAGCCGCAGCCCCAGUGGGCCCAACGGUUCCUGUGGGUGGGGAGCCAGCCACCUUGGAGUCUCCAGUUCACUGAAACCUGUCACUGCCACCCAGUGGCCACCAUGACAAGGAAGCCAUCAUUCUGUAGAAGGCAGUGACGGAACAGUACCAGCAGAAAUUGAAGGACCAGCAGAAGGGAUCAUGGCCAAAGUUGCAGUGUCCCCCCGCUCGUUGAAGAUGAGGAGUUCUCAGAGAGCGGGAUGUUUGUGACAUUCCUCAUGUCAGCUCUCGAGUCCAUGACUCUCACUCGGUCGUCCAGGCUGGAGUGCAGUGGCACCAUCUUGGCUCAUUGCAACAUCUGGCUCCCAGGUUCAAUCGAUUCUUCUGCCUCAGCCUUCUGAGUAGCUGGAAUUAACAGGUGUAUGCCAACUUA